Molecule: ribosomal RNA, 790 nt
Filed under: uncultured euryarchaeote
Lineage: Archaea; Methanobacteriati; Methanobacteriota
Description: bacterial SSU rRNA
Rfam family: Archaeal small subunit ribosomal RNA
Source: RNAcentral
UUACGGCUCAGUAACACGUCGGUAACCUGCCCUACGAUCAAGGACAAUCUCGGGAAACUGAGUGUAAUACUUGAUGGAGAACGAUACUGGAAUGUUCGUCUCUCGAAAGCUACGGCGUCGUAGGAUGGGCCGGCGGUGGAUUAGGCUGUUGGCGGUGUAAUGGACCACCAAACCGAAGAUCCAUAAGGGCCAUGAGAGUGGUUGCCCUGAGAAGGACACUGAGAUACGGGUCCUAGCCCUACGGGGUGCAGCAGUCGGGCGAACUUUACAAUGCGCGAAAGCGUGAUAAGGGAAUCCUUCGUGCUCUAGUCUUACUAGGGCUUUUGCCAACGGUAAAAUCAUUGGCGAAUAAGUGGUGGGCAAGACUGGUGCCAGCCGCCGCGGUAACCCCAGCGCCACAAGUGGUACCCAGCUUUAUUUGGUCUAAAGCGUCCGUAGAUGGCAAGUUAAAUUCUCUGUGAAAUCGUGGCGCUCAACGUCACGGCGUGCAGAGAACACUGAUUUGCUUGGGACCAGAAGAGGUCAGCAGUAUUCCGUGGGGAGCGGUAAAAUGCUAUAAUCCACGGAGGACUACCGAUGGCGAAGGCAGCUGACCAGUAUGGAUCCGACAUUGAGGGACGAAAGCUAGGGGAGCGAUCCGGAUUAGAUACCCGAGUAGUCCUAGCCGUAAACGCUGCGAGUCAGAUGUUGCACAAUCUUCGAGAUUGUGCAGUGUCGUAACGAAGGUGUUAAACUCGCCACCUGGGGAGUACGGUCGCAAGGCUGAAACUUAAAGGAAUUGGCGGGGGAG